CCCACCGGGGAUUCAAAAUCAGGAGGCUCAGAAAAAGAGUUUGUUCAACACCUACUACAUAAAAGGUCUGCCUACACAGUUUGAUCCAGGAGAGCCUACUGAACAUUUCUAGGUACUAUGUAAUCCCAAAUUAUAGGGUAGGUAAAAAGUUAGGGGUCAUUCUUUGGUCCUACCCCUAUAGCAAAAUGCAGGCAAAUGUUCGAGAGAAGGUGCAACAU
Molecule: long non-coding RNA, 218 nt
Organism: Haliotis rubra (blacklip abalone)
Lineage: Eukaryota; Metazoa; Mollusca; Gastropoda; Lepetellida; Haliotidae
Exons: 3
Source: RefSeq, a predicted model, not a curated record